Dermochelys coriacea (leatherback sea turtle) is the source of this 988-nucleotide long non-coding RNA. RefSeq lists it as uncharacterized. The record is from RefSeq and is a predicted model, not a curated record. Lineage: Eukaryota; Metazoa; Chordata; Testudines; Dermochelyidae. The transcript has 2 exons.
AGUGCACUGGGGUAGGUAUCCCACUGUGCAACUGGCUGCAGGAUGCGUUGAGAAGGGUUUGCAAUGCCUCAUGGGGCAGGUACCGCGUCACAUGAUGCAGGUUUCUCAAUCCCAUCGUUCAGGAGGCAUCCUUCUAGAUUGCCAGCCACUUUUCAACUGAAAGGGGCGGGGGGGAGGAGAAUGGUGUGUCUGGGGCAGGGGAGACAGCAGGCUGACAGACAUAUCCUGAGGCAGGGAGAGGGGGACCCCCCCACACACACACACACCCCAGCAUCAGGCCCCGGCUCUGCUCAGCACAGCAGUCUCUCCUGAAGCAGCCCACUCUGCCUCCCUGCCUGCGGUUCUGCGAUUCCUGCCAAGUUCUCCCACAGCCUCCUCAGCUGCCAGGAGCAGCAACCAGCUCCAUAAGUUCUGUGCUGAGGAACGUCAAAGCAGCACAACCGUCCCUCCCUCCCCACCCCCAGCAGCUGUCUGCAUGCCGGUGUCCCUAGUGCAGGACAGAACAGGGGCAUUCCAAUGAUUUGCUCUUUGUUCCCCAAACAGAGCAGCACGCUCAGCUGUCAGAUCCUUCCUGGAGCUUUGAAAUGGGGGGGAAGGGGGGGGAAGAGGCACAUGCCUGCAGGGCAGCAGCGUUCAAAACAGUGAGCAAUGCAGUCCUGGCAAGCAUUGUAGGAUUUUGGUGGAAGCCAGUUAUGUCAGCAAAACAAAGAGCAGUGUCUACACUGAUGCUUUGUCACCAACUUUGCCACAGAAAGCCCUGUGCCUCUCGUCAACAUAGUUUCGUUUUGUCAGCAAAACAGCAGAGUUUUGCUGCCAAAAGUAGCUCUGUACUGUGUACACCUCCCCUGCUUUUGUAGACAAGGCCUUUGAAUUCAAGCUGUAGCAAGCUAUGGUGGUAACAACAGUAUUUGGUUUUUUUACUUAAUUAGCAGGAUCACAAAAUCUCUUUCAUCUGCUUCCUAUUCUUUAUCUUGUCUUCUUUCUUGUC